UACGGGAGGCAGCAGUGAGGAAUAUUGGGCAAUGGAGGCAACUCUGACCCAGCCAUGCCGCGUGCAGGAAGACUGCCCUAUGGGUUGUAAACUGCUUUUAUACAGGAAGAAACACACCUACGUGUAGGUGCUUGACGGUACUGUAAGAAUAAGCACCGGCUAACUCCGUGCCAGCAGCCGCGGUAAU
Molecule: ribosomal RNA, 187 nt
Filed under: uncultured bacterium
Lineage: Bacteria
Description: partial 16S ribosomal RNA
Rfam family: Bacterial small subunit ribosomal RNA
Source: RNAcentral